RNAcentral lists this ribosomal RNA (77 nucleotides) under Klebsiella pneumoniae subsp. pneumoniae. RNAcentral describes it as "partial 23S ribosomal RNA". It matches the Rfam family "Bacterial large subunit ribosomal RNA", at positions 2512 to 2588 of the family's 2925-position model. Lineage: Bacteria; Pseudomonadati; Pseudomonadota; Gammaproteobacteria; Enterobacterales; Enterobacteriaceae. The record is from RNAcentral.
CGGUGUUUGGCACCUCGAUGUCGGCUCAUCACAUCCUGGGGCUGAAGUAGGUCCCAAGGGUAUGGCUGUUCGCCAUU